RNAcentral lists this ribosomal RNA (477 nucleotides) under uncultured bacterium. RNAcentral's name for it is "partial 16S ribosomal RNA". It matches the Rfam family "Bacterial small subunit ribosomal RNA", at positions 30 to 507 of the family's 1533-position model. The record is from RNAcentral.
AUUGAACGCUGGCGGCAUGCCUUACACAUGCAAGUUGAACGGUAACAGGUUAAGCUGACGAGUGGCGAACGGGUGAGUAAUGUAUCGGAACGUGCCCAGUCGUGGGGGAUAACUGCUCGAAAGAGCAGCUAAUACCGCAUACGACCUGAGGGUGAAAGCGGGGGAUCGCAAGACCUCGCGCGAUUGGAGCGGCCGAUAUCAGAUUAGGUAGUUGGUGAGGUAAAGGCUCACCAAGCCGACGAUCUGUAGCUGGUCUGAGAGGACGACCAGCCACACUGGGACUGAGACACGGCCCAGACUCCUACGGGAGGCAGCAGUGGGGAAUUUUGGACAAUGGGCGCAAGCCUGAUCCAGCCAUGCCGCGUGCGGGAAGAAGGCCUUCGGGUUGUAAACCGCUUUUGUCAGGGAAGAAAAGGUUCUGGCUAAUACCUGGGACUCAUGACGGUACCUGAAGAAUAAGCACCGGCUAACUACGUG